This 253-nucleotide ribosomal RNA is filed under the name uncultured bacterium. RNAcentral describes it as "partial 16S ribosomal RNA". It matches the Rfam family "Bacterial small subunit ribosomal RNA", at positions 524 to 776 of the family's 1533-position model. The record is from RNAcentral.
UACGUAGGUGGCAAGUGUUGUCCGGAUUUACUGGGUGUAAAGGGCGUGCAGGCGGUUUGUUAAGUGCAGGGUGAAAGCUCCCGGCUCAACUGGGAGAGGUCCUUGCAUACUGGCGAACUCGAGGGAGGCAGAGGAAAGUGGAAUUCCCGGUGUAGUGGUGAUAUGCGUAGAUAUCGGGAGGAACACCUGUGGCGAAGGCGGCUUCCUGGGCCUUACCUGACGCUGAGACGCGAAAGCGUGGGGAGCGAACCGG